Molecule: long non-coding RNA, 1987 nt
Filed under: Cairina moschata (Muscovy duck)
Lineage: Eukaryota; Metazoa; Chordata; Aves; Anseriformes; Anatidae
Description: domestica (muscovy Duck (domestic type)) lncRNA (ENSCMMG00000013630.1)
Source: RNAcentral
GAGAAGAGAAGAGAAGAGAAGAGAAGAGAAGAGAAGAGAAGAGAAGAGAAGAGAAGAGAAGAGAAGAGAAGAGAAGAGAAGAGAAGAGAAGAGAAAAAAGGGAAACAAUGGGAAAAGGGAAAAGAAUAGAAAGGGAAAAAGAGAAAGAGGAAAAGAAAAAAGAAGAAAGAAGAAAAAAGGGAAAAGAGAAAAGAAAGAGAAAAAGAGAAAGGGGAAAAUAAAUAAAAAAAAAAAAAGGAAAAAAAAAAUGGAAAAGGGAAAAGGAGAACCCAGAACAGGACGAGGACCGGCGCAGAGGCCCCGCAGAGCUCCCCGCUCCCACCCGCCCGUGGGCACUGCCCCAACGCCCCGGCACCCCCCACACCCCCCCUCUCCCCCACCUAACGAAUUACCAGAGGCAAUUAGCGCUGCUGAGGGCACCCGAGGGAAACCACCCCAAAAACGCGGCCAGCAACGUGCUGCCGUCCCAACCCCACAAAACCCACAAAACCCACAAAACCCACAAAACCUACAAAAAGAUGGGGAAAUCUCCAUCCCGCAGCCCCCCCCCGUGCCCCCCACACGACACCACCACCGGAGCCUUGAAACAAAUCCCAACUUUUAUUUAUUUCCACCGAGCACACACAGACCACGAGGGAUGGGGAUGCGCUACACCACGACGCCGACCUCCCCGCGCUGCCUUCCCGCUACAAACCCCCAAAAAUCCUCCCCCACCCCCCAAAAAAAAAACCAAAAAAACCCACACCCGGGCACCCCCCCCGUAGAUUUUUCCCUUCCAACCCUGCUGGCCCCGAGGGGAUUUUUGGGGACGUUUUGGGGUGACUUUUGGGGUGAGGUUCCUGCAGCGGCACCCUGCGGGGAGGGGGAAAUAGGGAGCAGCGAGGCGCAGGGCACCCCCGCUGGGUGCUUUUUCGGCUCCCGAUCCCCCCUUCCUGGGCUCCUGGUGCAGCUUUUUAGGGUUUCGGGCGGUGGAACAGAGCGGUUGGAAAAGAGGCGCGCCCGUUAAAAAAAUUAUUACAAACCACAGCGGCGCUCGGGGAGGGCAGCACGAAAGGAAAAGGCAAGGCAGGGCAGGGGGGGUACAAUUUUUCCCCGAAAUACCACGAGCUCACUGCCCCAGGAACCGGAGCAGGGGGAUGCCAGAGCCACCGCGGGCCCCCGGUGGCCCCAGCCUCGUAUAAGGGGUCUUCGAUGCAGAAGACUAGAAAAAAGAGUAUGAAAAGGUAGAAAAAAACCCCAAAUGCACUUGUUUCGGGCUAGAAAGACUCGCAGAAAGGUGCCUAGAGGCUGUGGCCCUCUUGGGUUUCUCAGUUUUUCGGCCGAUGGCUGGCUCAGAGCUGGGGGCUGUGGGGUUACCGCGGUCCCCAGUGCACCCCCGGUGGUGCCCGGAUAAUUUUGGGUGCAGACCCCGUGGACUAACGGGGGUGGAGGUGAGCAGAGCCCCCGUCCCCCUGCCCGUCAGCAUCCCCAGAGGUGUUGGGCAGCGGGAGGGAAAGGCUUCUGGCAAGCCACGUCCUCGCCAGCACCCCCCUGGCACCCAGCCCCGAAAGGAGGCGUUUUUCCCCCAAAAGGCUGAUGGUGGCUGCUGCUUCUCUGCGGACCCCGGAGCGAGCCCUGCUGCGGGGUGCAGGCUGUGUAUAAACGGGGCGUCAGGCACCUGCGGGAGCGGGGAGCUCCGGGGGCAUCCUGCACCCCCAAAAAUCACCCCCGUGGCCACGGGGCGAGGGACGGGAAGGGGCAGGAGCAGCGGGGAAGCCGAAAGGGGUGGGCAGGGAGCGAGCGAGGGGCAGAGAAGAGGCACGGAGGUGUGGGAGGAGAGGACGGGGCUGGGAAGAAGUGGCCAGAGGUGAUUUUGGAGGCCAUCCAAAAAAAAAAAAAAAGGUCCAGGGAGGUGCUGCGGGAGUCGAUUUUGCCUCGGGCAUCGCCUCGGGGGUCACCUUGGGCAUCGCCUUGGGCAUCGCCUCGGGCAUCGCCUCCCCCCCCCCCC